RNAcentral lists this ribosomal RNA (517 nucleotides) under uncultured microorganism. RNAcentral describes it as "bacterial SSU rRNA". It matches the Rfam family "Bacterial small subunit ribosomal RNA", at positions 9 to 521 of the family's 1533-position model. The record is from RNAcentral.
GAGUUUGAUCUUGGCUCAGAUUGAACGCUGGCGGCAGGCCUAACACAUGCAAGUCGAGCGGAUGAAGGGAGCUUGCUCCUGGAUUCAGCGGCGGACGGGUGAGUAAUGCCUAGGAAUCUGCCUGGGUAGUGGGGGAUAACGUCCGGAAACGGGCGCUAAUACCGCAUACGUCCUGAGGGAGAAAGUGGGGGAUCUUCGGACCUCACGCUAUCAGAUGAGCCUAGGUCGGAUUAGCUAGUUGGUGGGUAAAGGCCUACCAAGGCGACGAUCCGUAACUGGUCUGAGAGGAUGAUCAGUCACACUGGAACUGAGACACGGUCCAGACUCCUACGGGAGGCAGCAGUGGGGAACAUUGGACAAUGGGCGAAAGCCUGAUCCAGCCAUGCCGCGUGUGUGAAGAAGGUCUUCGGAUUGUAAAGCACUUUAAGUUGGGAGGAAGGGCAGUAAGUUAAUACCUUGCUGUUUUGACGUUACCAACAGAAUAAGCACCGGCUAACUUCGUGCCAGCAGCCGCGGU